Molecule: ribosomal RNA, 253 nt
Filed under: uncultured bacterium
Lineage: Bacteria
Description: partial 16S ribosomal RNA
Rfam family: Bacterial small subunit ribosomal RNA
Source: RNAcentral
UACGGGGGGGGCAAGCGUUGUUCGGAAUUACUGGGCGUAAAGGGCUCGUAGGCGGCCAACUAAGUCAGACGUGAAAUCCCUCGGCUUAACCGGGGAACUGCAUCUGAUACUGGAUGGCUUGAGUUCAGGAGAGGGAUGCGGAAUUCCUGGUGUAGCGGUGAAAUGCGCAGAUAUCAGGAGGAACACCGGUGGCGAAGGCGGGUCUCUGGGCCGAUACUGACGCUGAGGAGCGAAAGCGUGGGGAGCGAACAGG